AGAGUUUGAUCCUGGCUCAGGAUGAACGCUAGCGGCAGGCCUUAUACAUGCAAGUCGAGGGGCAGCAUAGAUUGCUUGCAAUCUGAUGGCGACCGGCGAACGGGUGCGUAACGCGUAUGCAACUUACCUUUUACUAGGAGAUAGCCAAGAGAAAUUUUGAUUAAUAUCCUAUACAAUUAUUUUUUCGCAUAAAUUAAUAAUAAAAGCUCAGGCGGUAAAAGAUGGGCAUGCGUCCUAUUAGCUAGUAGGUGAGGUAAAGGCUCACCUAAGCAACGAUAGGUAGGGGUCCUGAGAGGGAGAUCCCCCACACUGGUACUGAGACACGGACCAGACUUCUACGGAAGGCAGCAGUAAGGAAUAUUGGACAAUGGAGGCAACUCUGAUCCAGCCAUGCCGCGUGCAGGAAGACGGCCUUAUGGGUUGUAAAGCACUUUCAACGGUGAAGAUGAUGACGGUAGCCGUAGAAGAAGCCCCGGCUAACUUCGUGCCAGCAGCCGCGGU
This 501-nucleotide ribosomal RNA is filed under the name uncultured bacterium. Its description in RNAcentral is "bacterial SSU rRNA". It matches the Rfam family "Bacterial small subunit ribosomal RNA", at positions 8 to 521 of the family's 1533-position model. The record is from RNAcentral.